This is an RNA transcript of Mastomys coucha (southern multimammate mouse), 1274 nucleotides long. It is a transcript of the gene named RNA binding motif protein 11, with no coding region annotated. The transcript has 9 exons. Lineage: Eukaryota; Metazoa; Chordata; Mammalia; Rodentia; Muridae. The record is from RefSeq and is a predicted model, not a curated record.
GCGCCCGCCUCGGGCUCCGCUGCCCAGGCGGGGCCGCGCAGUAAAGCGGAGCGAGGGGGCGGGGCCUCGGCACCUCCUCCAUCCCUGGCUGCGGACCGCAGGGAUGUUCCCCGCUCAGGAGGAGGCUGACAGGACCGUGUUUGUGGGCAAUUUAGAGGCCCGAGUGCGGGAAGAGAUUCUUUACGAGCUGUUCCUUCAGGCUGGGCCACUAACCAAAGUGACUCUUUGCAAAGACAGAGAUGGAAAACCAAAGUCCUUUGGCUUUGUUUGCUUCAAGCAUCCCGAGUCUGUGUCUUAUGCCAUAGCUUUGCUGAAUGGAAUUCGUUUGUAUGGGAGACCAAUUAACGUGCAGUAUCGAUUUGGGAGUUCUCGCUCUUCUGAACCAGCUACCCAAAGUUUUGAGAGCUGUGCGAAGAUCAACUCACACAGCUUCAGAAACGAAGAACUGGUGGGCAGGCCUUCCUUUCCCGUGCCAUUUUUCCCAAUGACGAGUGCCGCCUUACCUCAAGAAUAUUUUUUCUUUCAAAAAAUGGUGCAAAGAAUUUUAACCUCAGGACCAUCAGCCUUGAGAGCCCGCACUGGAGGGUUGUGCUUUGUUUUCUAGCACACUGAGCAGCAUCCCAGCCUCUACCCACUCUACUCUUACAGCAGGAUCUCCUUUCAUACUCUCAUGAUGAGACUAUCUAUUGGGCCAUUUGGAAGAUGUUCUGAACUCUGAGGAGCUUUUUGCUCAAAAUAUUGAAGCAAACUCACAGGAGGUCAGCACUUACUCGUUGCAUUCAAUAUUUAUUGGACUACUGGGUGUAAGGGCACCACCCACUACAGGUAGUGGAAAAGAAGUGAAGAUCAGCAAAGAUUCGAGAUCCACAAGCAUUGUACAGCUAGCAGUACCAGCAAGCCAAGCUCUGUCUCUGCCAUGGAGUUCUAUUUAGACCCUCCAAACAUCACAUGUCCUCCAAGUGCCUUGCUUCUGCACUUGCAUUCCAUCAGCCUGGGUCCUUGGAAGUGGCACCAAACUGCAGUACAUCACCAGAAGCUUUUCCAACAAAUGCAGCUCAACUCCACGAUUUAAGAAAGUGUCAGUAAAUAUUUGCUGGAGUCUUAUGGGCAGGACGGCUGACACCUGCUGUCACCUGACAGCUUGCACCCUCAAAGCUCACAAGAAUAUCUACAGACACUAGCUGGGGACAGAGGCUCUGAUCAAGAUCAAGCAAUUACAUGAACAAAGAACUGUCUCUGGGAAAAGCAGCUUGAAUAAAAAUAGCAAUUCAAAA